AUGGCAGCUGCCAUGUCGAGGAGAGCGGUGGCCGUGGCCGCGGUGCUCGCCGCCGUCACCUCGCUGCUCGCCCCCGCCGCCGUGGCGCAGCUCUCGACGUCCUUCUACAGCGGCAGCUGCGCGAGCCUGGAGUCCAUUGUGAGGUCGGGCAUGGUGUCCGCCGUCCAGCAGGAGCCGCGCAUGGGCGCCUCCAUCCUCCGCCUCUUCUUCCACGACUGCUUCGUCAACGGCUGCGACGGCUCGGUGCUGCUGGACGACUCGGCGACGCUGACGGGGGAGAAGAACGCCGGGCCGAACGCCAACUCGCUGCGCGGCUUCGAGGUGAUCGACGCCAUCAAGUCCCGGGUCGACGCGGCGUGCCCCGGCACCGUGUCCUGCGCCGACAUCCUCGCCGUCGCCGCGCGCGACGGCGUUAACCUGCUGGGCGGGCCGUCGUGGGGGGUGCCGCUGGGCCGGCGGGACGCGCGCACGACGACUCAGGCAGCGGCGAACAGCAACCUGCCGUCGCCGUCGUCGAGCGCGGCCACGCUGAUCUCGGCGUUCGCGUCCAAGGGGCUGGACUCCCGCGACAUGGUGGCGCUGUCCGGCGCGCACACGAUCGGCGCGGCGCGGUGCGCGAGCUUCCGGUCGCGCGUGUACAACGACAGCAACAUCAACGCCGGGUUCGCGACGCGGCGGCGGCAGGUGUGCCCGGCGCAGGGCGGCGUGGGCGACGGCAACCUGGCCCCGCUGGACGCCUUCAGCUCCGUGCGCUUCGACAACGGCUACUUCCGGAACCUGCUGAGCCGCUUCGGCCUCCUUCACUCGGACCAGGAGCUCUUCAACGGCGGGCCCGUGGACUCCAUCGCGCAGCAGUACGCCGGCAACGGCGGCGCCUUCUCGGCCGACUUCGUCACCGCCAUGAUCAAGAUGGGCAACAUCAGCCCGCUCACCGGAUCCAACGGCGAGAUCCGCAACAACUGCCGGAAGCCCAACUAA
RNAcentral lists this ribosomal RNA (978 nucleotides) under Triticum aestivum (bread wheat). RNAcentral's name for it is "partial small subunit ribosomal RNA". The record is from RNAcentral. Lineage: Eukaryota; Viridiplantae; Streptophyta; Magnoliopsida; Poales; Poaceae.